UAUAGGCCUAAUAUUCAUGAAACUAUGCUGCAUGCAAAAACCCAAACAUUGUAUUAAGCAUGACCUAUCUAACUGUAAUGCUUGCACCAAUUUCUAUAAAGGUACUAAUUUAAUUGUUAAAUUCCUGCUCUUCUAUCAAAUUUUUGGCUGAGUGCUAUGGCUAAAUAAUUGUUUGCAGCAUAAGUGAUGUUAAAGAUUUUAAUAGGUGUAAAGCAUCUCUCUCUCUCUCUCUCUCUCUCUCUCUCUCUCUCUCUCUCUCUCUCUCUCUCUCUCUCUCUCUCUCUCUCUCUCUCUCUCUCUCUCUCUCUCUCUCUCUCUCUCUCUCUCUCUCUCUCUCUCUCUCUCUCUCUCUCUCUCUCUCGUAAGGAAAGACAUUAUUUCUAGUGUAAAUAAACCCAAUAGGCUGUCCAAUUUGAAAUUUAAAAUGUAAAUAUUAUCAAUCUUUUUAGAAAUAUUAGCUGCAUCCUCUUCCCUUGCAGUCCAAUAAGACAGGUCACUAAUUCGUGUGGAGAUAGAAUUCUUGGAGUCACCUUUGCCGGCACUAGCGCAAGUGCAUACAGUCUGAUAAAGGUUUCUUCCAUGGUUGUGAUGAAGUUCAGGACUUCUCACACUGUUUCGAUAGAUAUGAUGAGAAGAAUCGGGAGUUCGGAACAUCAGUGCAUUAUGUCGGGGCAUGUAGGUUCGGCUGGGGUUUUCUUUCUUUCUUUCUUUUUUUUUUUUUCGAUCACUACUCAUCAUAUUCUUACGAAGACUUGCUACACAAAGGAUUAUUGCAUUAUGAUAUUACCCAAAUAGUGUCUCAAGUAAAAAACAUAACCGCAUACUCGUACAAAAGAUUUGCUGCUGUGACACAAAGGACAAAAAUCAUUAGUGUACUGGUCGUUCUAAGCAUUCAAUCAAAAUGCUUGUCAUUCAUAUAAUUAGUAGAACCAUCGAGGAGCUUUAUUUUUGUUAAUUCUUAUGUGAUAAAGCAAUAAUUACAGGAGACUUUUAAAAGAUUGGUACUUAAAUUAGUGGACUGUCCUAUUGGAUGUGACCAUAUCUUCACUUUUUCCUUACACAGUUAAUUUUCUUUUGUUUAUUUGAUUUACUUAUUAUCAUUUUUAUUUAUAUAUUUAUUUAUUUGCACCAGAUGCUUGCUUAGUUAUAUUGGGGUUACUUCACCUGCUUGGAGAAAGGAAAGACUCCAUUUUUACUAAGGUACCAGAAGAAGAACUAAGAACAGGGCAGUCUAGUGUGUAUUUGAUGGUGCAUCUGUAGCUGAACCAACAUGUAUUUCUAUGGCUGUAGUCUCAUUGGUAGCAGGGCUUUGUGUUUAAUAUUGAACACCCAAAAAAUUGUGAA
This is a long non-coding RNA of Scylla paramamosain (green mud crab), 1344 nucleotides long. RefSeq lists it as uncharacterized. Lineage: Eukaryota; Metazoa; Arthropoda; Malacostraca; Decapoda; Portunidae. The transcript has 2 exons. The record is from RefSeq and is a predicted model, not a curated record.